CUCCAGCCCUCUGACCAUCUUAGUGGCCCUCCUCUGGACCCACUCCAAAAACUUCCCGUCUUGCGGAGAAGAGAGAAUAAAGGUAAGGCAGACGCUGAGAAGGACAAGAGCAAAAGCAGAGAAGAACAGGCACAGGUAAGAAAGAAGAGCAGAAGAGGAGGAGAAGAAAAAAUGAGGAUGAAGGUAAGAAAAACAAGCGGGCAGGGAGAAGAGCUGAAGAAGGGAUGAGUGGGUGCAGGUAAGACCGAACAGCAGAAGUGGAGAGGAGCUGAAGAGGAGAAGUAUGAAAAGUAGAGCAAAAGUACAGGAGGUGGAAAGAGAGGAAAGAGGCAAGAGAGAAGAGAGGAAGAGCAGAGAAAGAACAGAGCAGUAGAGAAGAGCGGACAGUGCUGUGAAAAGAAGAACAGUGCCACAGAGCAGGUGAAGAAUAAAGGAAGAACAGAAGAGGAGUGUAGAUGAAGAAGAGGUGUGAGGGCACAAGGAAGAAAGAUCAGAAGAG
RNAcentral lists this long non-coding RNA (499 nucleotides) under Gallus gallus (chicken). RNAcentral's name for it is "lncRNA (ENSGALG00010000097.1)". Lineage: Eukaryota; Metazoa; Chordata; Aves; Galliformes; Phasianidae. The record is from RNAcentral.